Molecule: transfer-messenger RNA, 367 nt
Filed under: Chitinophagales
Lineage: Bacteria; Pseudomonadati; Bacteroidota; Chitinophagia
Also listed under: 1 other name
Description: Bog-950 sp016715625 Standard tmRNA
Rfam family: transfer-messenger RNA
About the family: Bacterial tmRNA, also known as 10Sa RNA or SsrA, is named for its dual tRNA and mRNA-like properties. Its role is to liberate the mRNA from a stalled ribosome. To accomplish this part of the tmRNA is used as a reading frame that ends in a translation stop signal.
Source: RNAcentral
GGGGCUGACUGGUAUUGACGGGAGGUCUUGAUAAUAAACCGGCAUGCAGAGCGUGUUCAUAGCUCUUAAAUCCAUGGAUACAACAAUUUUAACUGGCGAAACUAAUUACGCCAUGGCUGCUUAAUCUUAGAGAUUAACCACCAUUUGCUCUGCGCUUGAGGCACCAUACACAGCGCACCAGCAACCAAAACCUGGUGACGCUUGCCGUAAGCAUCAUCUACUUACGGCAAGUUGAUUGACAGAUGUAAGAAACAAAUUGGAGGGUUACUUAUCCGGCUUGUUUACGAAAACCAAUAAGUAACUAAGCAUGUAGAGAGUCUAUUGCCAACUUAUCCGGACGUGGGUUCGAUUCCCACCAGCUCCACAA